UUGGAUCUAGAAGAUCUUGUGAUGGGUCUUAUGCGUCACAGGAGUUGGAUCAAACUCUAGUUCCAACCAAUGGGUUGAUCGGACAUCUGAGCCUAUGGAAAUUGAUUCAGGAAACUCGUGGACAUCCAGUAUUUGACUCGCUACCAGAAAUUAGCACAACCAUGGUACAAGAAUACGAUGGAUUUCCAAUGACAGGUUUCUUACUUUGGGGCGAGCAUACACAAGUGAGUUACAACUUCUACGUAGAAAGUUAUUUGAAAAACUUCCAAAUUCAUGGUAUAGAUUGGCAAUUCUAUUGUAACACAUUGAUGAUGCCACAAGAGACUGUAGCUCCAGAUGGUACCACAUAAGGUCGCAACUCAUC
This 364-nucleotide long non-coding RNA is filed under the name Aquilegia coerulea. RNAcentral's name for it is "long non-coding RNA (ACOE_LNC001861)". Lineage: Eukaryota; Viridiplantae; Streptophyta; Magnoliopsida; Ranunculales; Ranunculaceae. The record is from RNAcentral.